CUGCGGGAGGGCAGGUCCUGGACUGGAACCGGGUGGGUCACUUUAAAUGUGUGAGGUGAAUGGAUGUCGCGGGAAGGGGAACUCCCUCCCCCAGCUCCCUUGGGCCCUGCACCUGCCCCAGCGCGGGUCGUCCGGCGCGUCCCCCGGGGCCACCUCGGCGAGUCCCUCCGGGUCUGGGCGUGUGACUGGCCGACCACCCGCAUGGCUCUCGCACCGCCCCAGUUAUCACCCUUGGCGGGACCGGGAGCUAAAGGGAUGGCGCGAGCUUGGAAGAGGUUUCGCUCCUUUAUUAACUAACUCAGACGGUUCCAGCCCAGCCGAACCCACGUGGGGUGGCGAAAUCUGAAAGAUUCCAGCUACGAACAGUUUGCAUGUUUGUUCCUCGGUCACUUUUUUUGGCAAGGCCAGAGAGCAACGAUGCCCUGAUCCAGCUGGGCAGAAGCAAAGACAACCCCAACAAAACUGGCUUCGGAGAAAUAUCUGGAUGCAGGGCAAAAGGUUUGCUCUUUAUUCACCAACGAGAAGUCAUUUCUUCAAAAUAAAGUUGAACAGGAAGAAAAAAAUAGCUUCUAAAAACAACCUUGAUUUAUCUAUAAUGAAGGGCACCAAUGGUUCAGAAUCCCUUCCAGCAAUACUAAGAAAACACGGUGGUUGAUGAAUCCCAAGACGUCUAUCCUGAAUCACAAAUUCCUGGGUGACUAAAAUAAAUUCCUAGAGCCAAACUUAAAUUGGGACUGUGACCGAGUACCAGAAAAGAAACACCUGCUUUAUUAACACAACAGCAACAGAAAGGGUUUCCAAGUUCUUCGAAGGAAAAUAACAUGAACAGGCAGCACCUGCUAAGUGUUACAAGACUCAGUGCCCACGCUGAUUGUUCGAGAGCUCCCCCCACCCCGCAGAUGUCUCCUCCCUCAGGGCUGCUGCCAAGAACAGGCUUCUCACUGCGGUAGCGUCACAGUUAAUUCCUCAAACAGGAGACUGAGAGGGUAUCAUUCCUGUUUCAGAAGAUCUUGGUGUUAAAGAAGCGGCGGCAGCAGCAGCUCUUAGUGUAGAGAACAUAGCCAUUUGGAAAACAUGCUUGUUUCUUGAAUUCAAGAAAAACCAUGAGCCAAUCUAUCAAUUCUUCUCCGCUCUGGUCUGCCAGAGUGGGGUCUGAAGAUUCCUUUUCUGUCGCUAUCACAUGUCUGGGUAAGAG
Mustela lutreola (European mink) is the source of this 1195-nucleotide long non-coding RNA. RefSeq lists it as uncharacterized. The transcript has 4 exons. Lineage: Eukaryota; Metazoa; Chordata; Mammalia; Carnivora; Mustelidae. The record is from RefSeq and is a predicted model, not a curated record.